CAAUCGAACCCGGAGAUAGCUGGUUCUCCUCGAAAUAGCUUUAGGGCUAGCCUCGCAUUAGUUUACCGGAGGUAGAGCACUGAAUGGUCUAGGGGGCCUCACCGCCUACCGAAACCUAUCAAACUGCGAAUGCCGGAUAAAUGAUGUGCGGGAGUCAGGCCGCGAGAGAUAAGUUCCGCGGUCAAAAGGGGAACACCCCAGAUCGUCUGCUAAGGUCCCCAAGUACGCGUUAAGUGGGAAAGGAUGUUGGAUUGCACAGACAACCAGGAUGUUGGCUUAGAAGCAGCCACACAUUCAAAGAGUGCGUAAUAGCUCACUGGUCGAGUGAUCCAGCGCCGAAAAUGUAACGGGGCUAAAACGCGACACCGAAGCAGCGGGAUGCGUAAGCAUCGGUAGAGGAGCAUUGUGUGAGGAUAGAAGCCAGAGCGGGAGCACUGGUGGACUUCACAGAAGAGAGAAUGCCGGUAUGAGUAGCGAGACCCAUGCGAGAAACAUGGGCGUCGAAGGCCCAAGGUUUCCUGGGGAAGGUUCAUCCACCCAGGGUAAGUCGGGACCUAAGCCGAGGACUGAGGUCGUAGGCGAUGGACAGCAGGUAGAGAUUCCUGCACCACUUACACUUGUUUGACGAAGCAGUGACACAGAAGGAUAGGACGAGCGCGGUGAUGGUCAACCGCGUAGGCGGCACGAGGCUGGGGAGCAGUAAAGUACACUUCCCGGGAAGGCUGAGUGUUGACAGGACCGAAAAAGAGUAGGGAAGCGUCUGAGUUCACGCUGGCGAGAAAAGCUGCUAAGGAGAGUGUGAGUGCCCGUACCGGAAACCGACGCAGGUGGGCGAGGAGAGAAUCCUGAGACGGACGGGAGAACUCUUGUUAAGGAACUCGGCAAAAUGACCCCGUAACUUCGGGAGAAGGGGUGCCUCGAAAGAGGCCGCAGAGAAUAGUCACAAGCGACUGUUUAGCAAAAACACAGGUAUCUGCGAAAGCGAGAGCUGACGUAUAGGUGCUGACGCCUGCCCGGUGCUGGAAGGUUAAGGGGAAGUGUUAGGGGAAACCCGAAGCAGAGAACCGAAGCCCCAGUAAACGGCGGCCGUAACUAUAACGGUCCUAAGGUAGCGAAAUUCCUUGUCGGGUAAGUUCCGACCCGCACGAAUGGCGUAACGACUUGUGAGCUGUCUCAACAGGAGGCCCGGUGAAAUUGAAGUAUGUGUGAAGAUGCACAUUACCCGCGACUGGACGGAAAGACCCCGUAGAGCUUUACUGUAACCUGACAUUGGAUCUUGAUAACGGAUGCACAGGAUAGGUGGGACGCUGGGAGGUAUGGACUUUGGUCUGUACGGAGCGGACGUUGGGAUACCACUCUUCUGUUAUUGAAAUUCUAACAAGCAGCCGUGAACCGGCGCUUGGACCGUGCUAGGUAGGCAGUUUGACUGGGGCGGUCGCCUCCCAAAGAGUAACGGAGGCGCCCAAAGGUUCCCUCAGAAUGGAUGGAAACCAUUCGAAGAGAGCAAAGUCAGAAGGGUGCUUGACUGCGAGACCAACAAGUCGAGCAGGUACGAAAGUAGGGCUUAGUGAUCCGGCGGUAAGAGAGUGGAAUUGCCGUCGCUCAACGGAUAAAAGCUACCUCGGGGAUAACAGGCUGAUCUCCCCCAAGAGUUCACAUCGACGGGGAGGUUUGGCACCUCGAUGUCGGCUCA
This 1693-nucleotide ribosomal RNA is filed under the name human gut metagenome. Its description in RNAcentral is "bacterial LSU rRNA". It matches the Rfam family "Bacterial large subunit ribosomal RNA", at positions 830 to 2539 of the family's 2925-position model. The record is from RNAcentral.